UCAAAACCAAUCCACUGGGCAGAGGCAGCGCACAAACCAAAUCUCCCCACCAGCGGCCGCGGCGGCGGCCCAGAUCUCUCCUCCAUGCUGAGCGAGUACGCCAGGUAGAGGCGGGCCAGAUCCCUCCUCCAUACUGUUCCAUCUCUCGAUGGCUCCCUGCCGUUUUGUGGGGGGCGUCCCAGUUUGAGGCGGACCAGAUCGGAGCUCGUCGGCAACCUCCUCCCCGUAAUGUGCUCUUCCCAGCCUCCCUUCUGAAGCUCCGGCAGCGGUGGGUUCGGCGGCAAGCCUGUGGUGGUCUCCUCGGUCCUUCCUGACCAGCCCGUGCGACGAGUAUUCUGGAGGAUCAAGUUGGAAGGUUGAGGGCGGUUACAUAAUCUCAACGGCUUGAAGUUUAGGACAAUUCACUAAAAAGGACAAGUCAAACAAAACUCUCAUCUCAGGAUUCAAUAAUGGAGGGGAGCGGCACUACAUCGACAUUAGGAUAGCCCAUAGUUACAAUGGCCACAAAAAGUUACGAACAUCAGUCAUUGAAUCGGUCAAUAGUGCUCAAAAUCAAGAUUUCAGCGAUGGUAGCUCGUUUGUACAGAUUAAUUCCCUGAUGCUUGUCAUUGAUGAUUCCGGUACACCGAAAGAAACAAUCGUUUUAUCAAGAGCACACGAAGCUUGAUGAGCAGAAAGGACUAGAACUGAAGGCAAAAGCCUAUAGCUUUUCUGUUCUGUAACAUCAUUCAUGCCAAGUUGAUGCAGUUUCUAGUGGCACUGCUUCUUGAGUUGUGAUUUAUUUUAGUCAUUCAUAGUCAGUCUUGCCCAUGAUGUACCGCUUCUACAUGUAACACUUGAUAUGUAUGUAUGUAUGUAUGUAUGUCUCUUCUGUUGUUUCAUGGCUGUGAUCGUGCAGUUUGAAAUCUAUGUUUGCUUGAAGCGGAUGAAUUAAUGCUCAUGUACUCAAAGAUAUUUUUUAUGAUGCUCAUAUACUUUUUA
Long non-coding RNA from Triticum aestivum (bread wheat), 981 nucleotides. RefSeq lists it as uncharacterized. The transcript has 5 exons. The record is from RefSeq and is a predicted model, not a curated record. NCBI's taxonomy places the organism in Eukaryota, Viridiplantae, Streptophyta, Magnoliopsida, Poales, Poaceae.